GCUGGGCACAGUGGUGCGCGCCUGUAGUCCCAGCGACUCGGGAGGCUGAGUCAGGAGGAUCAUAAGUUCAAAGCCAGCCUCAGUAACUUAUUGAGGCCCUGAGCAACUCAGAGAGACUCUGUCUCUA
RNAcentral lists this small RNA (127 nucleotides) under Marmota monax (woodchuck). Lineage: Eukaryota; Metazoa; Chordata; Mammalia; Rodentia; Sciuridae. The record is from RNAcentral.